RNAcentral lists this ribosomal RNA (499 nucleotides) under uncultured bacterium. Its description in RNAcentral is "partial 16S ribosomal RNA". It matches the Rfam family "Bacterial small subunit ribosomal RNA", at positions 28 to 507 of the family's 1533-position model. The record is from RNAcentral.
GACGAACGCUGGCGGCGUGCUUAACACAUGCAAGUCGAACGGGCCCGCCCCUGUUUUUGGGGGUGGGUUGAGUGGCGAACGGGUGAGUAUCACGUGAGUAACCUGCCCCCUGCUCCUGGAUAACUGCUUGAAAGGGCGGCUAAUACGGGGUGUGCCGGCUGGUCCGCAUGGGCCUGGUCGGGAUAGUUUCAUCUUCGGGUGUUUCGGUGGGGGAUGUGCUCGCGGCCUAUCAGCUUGUUGGUGGGGUGAUGGCCCACCAAGGCGGUGACGGGUAGCCGGCGUGAGAGGGUGGGCGGCCACACUGGGACUGAGACACGGCCCAGACUCCUGCGGGAGGCAGCAGUGGGGGGUAUUGCACAAUGGGCGGAAGCCUGAUGCAGCGACGUCGCGUGAGGGAUGGAGGCCUUCGGGUUGUGAACCUCUUUCUCCGGUGGUGAAGGCCCUGUCCGUUGCGGCGGGGUUGACGGUAGCCGGGUAUGAAGCGCCGGCUAACUACGUG